CUGAAAGUGUCUAUUUGUUUCAAUGGAUAUGUCUUACUCCGCCAUGUAUCUUCAUUGGAGUUGGUGAUACUAAAUAAAUAAUAACGUUGUGUUUUUUAUUUAUUUUUUAUUUUAAAUGAUCCUCGUCCUUGUGCAUGGUCAUCGUGAACAUACCUUUUUGUCAGGCUUGCGUUUUAUUCCCAAGAUCGGUAUCCGGAAGCACCACAAGGCUGGAAUUUUUCUCUCGAGUACCAAGUGGAUCAACUCGCAAUGUGGCCUAACCAAGGUCCUCCAAUGGGUCCACCCAACCCAAGUUUUCCUCCUCCAGCCUAUCCUGGAGUUCCAAAUCCAGCAUACCCCCCUGGUUACAAUCCAGCAUAUCCACCUGGUAUGAACCCAGCUGUACCUCCUGGGCUGGGUCCUCCUGGGGCCCCAGGACAACCCUAUUUCCCCACUGGUCCUGCACCCCCACCCUAUCCAGGGGCCCCACCCCCUCAUGUCCCACACGGUGGAGUCUACCCAGGCCCUCACUAUGGCCCUCCUCAUGGUCCUCAUCCACAUCCUGGGGGUUUCAACCCUCUGGCUGGGGGUUUAGCAGGAGGUGUAGCAGGGGCAGGAAUGGCCUUGACGGGACACAAGGUGCACAAGAAAAUGAAAAAGAUGAAGAAAGGAAAGAAGGCACACAAGGCUCAUAAAAACAUGAAGCAUGGAAAGCAUUCUUCAAGCAGCAGUAGUAGUAGCAGCAGCAGCGACUCAGACUAAAGUUACUAGAGUCCACCAAAUCACUGACAACAUGAUCUGCCCUGUAACAAGUGACAUACAGCAAAUGAUAGCUUGGUUUACUGACCUUUGUCUUAUACAGCUUGUUUUAAUAAUUUUCACUCUAAACUAUAUUAUUACUAAGCCAUUAAUCUAUUGUGUCAUAUAGGUUGAUUGGUUUGUAAAGCAAUUUACUGUAUUGUUUAAUUAUCACAUACUAAAGAAAAUUUGAUUAUCCUCAAAGUCAGUAAUGUAAAGCACCUGGUCUGAAACUUCUGGUUUUAUGUUUCUCUGUCAAAGAACUAGAUUAACCACCUUUAACCACAUGGGAGAUAUAUCGGUUUUCAUAGUAAACUGUGUGACACAACUACUGGACAAUGCUGUUGAGGAUUAAUGUAUGUACUGCAUUCUUACAAGUGUUACAACAACAAAUGUUUAUGGUAAAUUAUACGAAACUGAUCAUCUAAAUUCUGGUAUGGUUCUUAUCUUGUCUCGCUGUGGAAAUAGUGACACUGUGAAGGUUAGAAAGUGCCUUAUCAUUAAGGUGUGUAGACCUUAAUUUAUGCAAUGGUUAAAAAAAAUCCUUUAUCACUGACGAAGCACUUUGUGUUAUAUCUGAAUGACAAAAAGAGAAGUGAAGCUUAAUCUAUGGCAUUGUCUGAAACAAAGCAGGGGAUGCAUGGACACAGCCAAGUUACAUCAAGACCUAUGCAAUAUGCAAUGUUGUUUUAUUGAGACAAAUUAGCUCUUUUGCCAGUACACUGUUUGAGUCCAAGUCCUCCAGUGACUACCAAUGUGUUUGCAAUAUAGUAUUGUUUAACACAAUUGACACACAAUGUAGAUAAAUUGAUCUUAUCCCUUCAAUGAUCAAUCCUUUCAAAUAUCCCUUCAGUUAAGGUACACUGUUGCCGAGUUGCUUCACACAUAUCACAUAUUAAACAUUCUUGUAAAGAUUCAGAGAGAAGAGGAAUGCUAAUAGGGUUAUUCAAACUUGUAAUCUUUUAUUUUAUGGAAAGCAUAUUUUUCCUAUGUAUUUAAAUGUAAUUAAAUAAUUUCUGAUUUAACUAAACAUAACAUAAAGGGAAGGUUUGACUGUAAAUUGGGUGAUGCUCUCAAAACAUACAUAUUUCAUAAUAUAUUAUAAAUGAUUAAAUUGUCGAAACUACAA
This is a long non-coding RNA of Clupea harengus (Atlantic herring), 1906 nucleotides long. The record is from Ensembl. Lineage: Eukaryota; Metazoa; Chordata; Actinopteri; Clupeiformes; Clupeidae.